AUGAUCUCGCAGUUCUUCGUGCUGUCGCAGCGCGGCGACCACAUCGUCUUCCGCGACUAUCGCGGCGAGGUGCCCAAGGGCAGCGCGGAGAUCUUCUUCCGGAAGGUCAAGUUCUGGAACGAGGACGAGGCCGAGGAGGCGCCUCCAGUGUUCAAUAUCGAUGGGGUUAAUUAUGUCCAUGUCAAAGUCGCGGGAUUAUUUUUUGUGGUAACCACAAUGGUCAAUAUCUCGCCGUCGCUUCUCUUGGAACUUCUGCAAAGGAUCGCACGUGUUACCAAAGACUAUCUCGGUGUUCUAAAUGAAGAUUCCCUGAGGAAGAAUUUCAUUUUAGUGUACGAGUUGCUUGAUGAAGUUAUCGACUUCGGAUACCCACAAACAACUUCUACCGAGGCUCUGAAGUCGUACAUAUUUAAUGAGCCAAUCAUGGUUGAUGCUGGACGGUUGCCACCACUUGGUCCUGCUGCUAUGUUCAUGCAAGGCACAAAGCGGAUGCCGGGUACAGCUGUGACAAAAUCAGUUGUUGCUAAUGAGCCAGGUGGGAAAAAGAGGGAGGAAAUUUUUGUUGAUAUCAUUGAGAAAAUAAGUGUGACAUUCAGCUCUAGUGGUUAUAUACUUACCUCUGAGAUUGAUGGAACCAUCCAAAUGAAAAGUUACCUUAGUGGAAAUCCAGAAAUCCGCCUAGCUCUGAAUGAGGAUUUAGGCAUUGGAAAGAAUAGCUCUUCUACACAUGAUUACAGAAGUUCUUCUGGAGGAGGAUCAGUUGUUCUUGAUGAUUGUAACUUCCAUGAGUCAGUGCAGCUUGACAGUUUUGACAUUGACAGAACUCUGCAUUUAAUACCACCUGAUGGAGAAUUUCCAGUGAUGAACUACCGGAUGACUCAAGAAUUUAAGCCGCCCUUCCGUGUCACCGCACUAAUUGAAGAAGCUGGUCCAUCUCGGGCUGAAGUUCUAUUGAAAAUACGGGCAGACUUUCCUGCGAAUGUGACUGCCAACACAAUCACAGUACAAAUGCCAGUGCCCUCUUACACAAUGAGGGCAAGUUUUGAACUGGAAGCUGGAGCAGUUGGACAGACAACGGAUUUUAAAGAAGGAACUAGGAGACUGGAGUGGAAUCUAAAGAAGAUUGUUGGCGGUUCUGAGCAUACCCUUCGUGCAAAACUCACAUUUUCCCAGGAGUCACAUGGAAAUCUCACAAAGGAAGCCGGGCCAGUAAACAUGAAUUUCACUAUACCUAUGUACAAUGCUUCAAAGUUGCAGGUCAGAUAUCUUCAGAUAGCGAAGAAAUCCAAAACAUACAAUCCAUACAGGUGGGUGAGAUAUGUGACGCAGGCCAACUCGUAUGUAGCUCGUCUAUGA
This 1356-nucleotide ribosomal RNA is filed under the name Triticum aestivum (bread wheat). RNAcentral's name for it is "partial small subunit ribosomal RNA". The record is from RNAcentral. Lineage: Eukaryota; Viridiplantae; Streptophyta; Magnoliopsida; Poales; Poaceae.